CCAAGGGGCAGGACCAGCACGAGGGAUAAGACGCUAAAGACGGGAAUUCUCACCCGGAUAGAACACGCGGGUGAUCGUCUCAUGUUCACCAAACGCUUGGUAUCAAGUCAGUGAAAAGUACUGGCCAUAAAACAACAGAGCAACAAGGUGAGGGACUGGCUUCUCCUGGCCAGUGACAGCGGCACGAGGCCAGAAUUGGAAACCACCAGUUGAACAAUGGCUCCAUCCUAUAGGCAGAGUGAGACACUGGCCUGUCUUCUUCGUGUUUGUUUUGGUCCCCUCGGCCCACAUCGGCGUCCAGGGCUCUUCCACUCGCUGUCACCUGG
RNAcentral lists this long non-coding RNA (326 nucleotides) under Equus asinus (donkey). RNAcentral's name for it is "lncRNA (ENSEASG00005029232.1)". The record is from RNAcentral. Lineage: Eukaryota; Metazoa; Chordata; Mammalia; Perissodactyla; Equidae.